GGUGACGAGCGGCGGACGGGUGAGUAAUGUCUGGGAAACUGCCUGAUGGAGGGGGAUAACUACUGGAAACGGUAGCUAAUACCGCAUAACGUCGCAAGACCAAAGUGGGGGACCUUCGGGCCUCAUGCCAUCAGAUGUGCCCAGAUGGGAUUAGCUGGUAGGUGGGGUAACGGCUCACCUAGGCGACGAUCCCUAGCUGGUCUGAGAGGAUGACCAGCCACACUGGAACUGAGACACGGUCCAGACUCCUACGGGAGGCAGCAGUGGGGAAUAUUGCACAAUGGGCGCAAGCCUGAUGCAGCCAUGCCGCGUGUGUGAAGAAGGCCUUCGGGUUGUAAAGCACUUUCAGCGGGGAGGAAGGCGGUGAGGUUAAUAACCUCAUCGAUUGACGUUACCCGCAGAAGAAGCACCGGCUAACUCCGUGCCAGCAGCCGCGGUAAUACGGAGGGUGCAAGCGUUAAUCGGAAUUACUGGGCGUAAAGCGCACGCAGGCGGUCUGUCAAGUCGGAUGUGAAAUCCCCGGGCUCAACCUGGGAACUGCAUUCGAAACUGGCAGGCUAGAGUCUUGUAGAGGGGGGUAGAAUUCCAGGUGUAGCGGUGAAAUGCGUAGAGAUCUGGAGGAAUACCGGUGGCGAAGGCGGCCCCCUGGACAAAGACUGACGCUCAGGUGCGAAAGCGUGGGGAGCAAACAGGAUUAGAUACCCUGGUAGUCCACGCUGUAAACGAUGUCGAUUUGGAGGUUGUGCCCUUGAGGCGUGGCUUCCGGAGCUAACGCGUUAAAUCGACCGCCUGGGGAGUACGGCCGCAAGGUUAAAACUCAAAUGAAUUGACGGGGGCCCGCACAAGCGGUGGAGCAUGUGGUUUAAUUCGAUGCAACGCGAAGAACCUUACCUGGUCUUGACAUCCACAGAACUUUCCAGAGAUGGAUUGGUGCCUUCGGGAACUGUGAGACAGGUGCUGCAUGGCUGUCGUCAGCUCGUGUUGUGAAAUGUUGGGUUAAGUCCCGCAACGAGCGCAACCCUUAUCCUUUGUUGCCAGCGGUUAGGCCGGGAACUCAAAGGAGACUGCCAGUGAUAAACUGGAGGAAGGUGGGGAUGACGUCAAGUCAUCAUGGCCCUUACGACCAGGGCUACACACGUGCUACAAUGGCAUAUACAAAGAGAAGCGACCUCGCGAGAGCAAGCGGACCUCAUAAAGUAUGUCGUAGUCCGGAUUGGAGUCUGCAACUCGACUCCAUGAAGUCGGAAUCGCUAGUAAUCGUAGAUCAGAAUGCUACGGUGAAUACGUUCCCGGGCCUUGUACACACCGCCCGUCACACCAUGGGAGUGGGUUGCAAAAGAAGUAGGUAGCUUAACCUUCGGGAGGGCGCUUACCACUUUGUGAUUCAUGACUGGGGUGAAGUCGUAACAAGGUAACCGUAGGGGAACCUGCGGUUGGAUCACCU
This 1444-nucleotide ribosomal RNA is filed under the name Klebsiella variicola. RNAcentral's name for it is "bacterial SSU rRNA". It matches the Rfam family "Bacterial small subunit ribosomal RNA". The record is from RNAcentral. Lineage: Bacteria; Pseudomonadati; Pseudomonadota; Gammaproteobacteria; Enterobacterales; Enterobacteriaceae.